GAACAGCCACACUGGAACUGAGACACGGUCCAGACUCCUACGGGAGGCAGCAGUGGGGAAUCUUGCGCAAUGGGCGAAAAGCCUGACGCAGCGACGCCGCGUGAGCGAUGAAGGCCCUCGGGUUGUAAAGCUCUGUGGGGAGAGACGAAUAAGGUGAAGUUAACACCCUCACUGAUGACGGUAUCUCUUUAGCAAGCACCGGCUAACUCUGUGCCAGCAGCCGCGGUAAGACAGAGGGUGCAAACGUUGUUCGGAAUUACUGGGCGUAAAGCGCGUGUAGGUGGUCUCGCAAGUCGGAUGUGAAAUCCCAGGGCUCAACCCUGGAAGAGCACCCGAAACUGCAAGACUGGAGUCCUGGAGAGGAAGGUGGAAUGCUUGGUGUAGAGGUGAAAUUCGUAGAUAUCAAGCGGAACACCAGUGGCGAAGGCGCCGUUCUGGACAGUGACUGACACUGAGACG
This 459-nucleotide ribosomal RNA is filed under the name uncultured bacterium. RNAcentral describes it as "bacterial SSU rRNA". It matches the Rfam family "Bacterial small subunit ribosomal RNA", at positions 302 to 753 of the family's 1533-position model. The record is from RNAcentral.